Molecule: ribosomal RNA, 432 nt
Filed under: uncultured bacterium
Lineage: Bacteria
Description: partial 16S ribosomal RNA
Rfam family: Bacterial small subunit ribosomal RNA
Source: RNAcentral
AACGAACGCUGGCGGCAUGCCUAACACAUGCAAGUCGAACGAGACCUUCGGGUCUAGUGGCGCACGGGUGCGUAACGCGUGGGAACCUGCCCUUAGGUUCGGAAUAACUCCCCGAAAGGGGUGCUAAUACCGGAUAAUGUCUUCGGACCAAAGAUUUAUCCCUUUGGAUGGGCCCGCGUUGGAUUAGCUAGUUGGUAGGGUAAAAGCCUACCAAGGCGACGAUCCAUAGCUGGUCUGAGAGGAUGAUCAGCCACACUGGGACUGAGACACGGCCCAGACUCCUACGGGAGGCAGCAGUGGGGAAUAUUGGACAACGGGCGAAAGCCUGAUCCAGCAAUGCCGCGUGAGUGAUGAAGGCCUUAGGGUUGUAAAGCUCUUUUACCCGGGAUGAUAAUGACAGUACCGGGAGAAUAAGCUCCGGCUAGCUCCGUG